Molecule: ribosomal RNA, 383 nt
Filed under: Bacillus cereus
Lineage: Bacteria; Bacillati; Bacillota; Bacilli; Caryophanales; Bacillaceae
Description: bacterial SSU rRNA
Rfam family: Bacterial small subunit ribosomal RNA
Source: RNAcentral
CAGAGUGACAGGUGGUGCAUGGUUGUCGUCAGCUAGUGUCGUGAGAUGUUGGGUUAAGUCCCGCAACGAGCGCAACCCUUGAUCUUAGUCGCCAUCACUAAGUUGGGCACUCUAAGGUGACUGCCGGUGACAAACCGGAGGAAGGUGGGGAUGACGUCAAAUCAUCAUGCCCCUUAUGACCUGGGCUACACACGUGCUACAAUGGACGGUACAAAGAGCUGCAAGACCGCGAGGUGGAGCUAAUCUCAUAAAACCGUUCUCAGUUCGGAUUGUAGGCUGCAACUCGCCUACAUGAAGCUGGAAUCGCUAGUAAUCGCGGAUCAGCAUGCCGCGGUGAAUACGUUCCCGGGCCUUGUACACACCGCCCGUCACACCACGAGAGU